GACGAACGCUGGCGGCGCGCUUAACACAUGCAAGUCGAGCGAUGAAAUCUUAACAGAACCCUUCGGGGCGAAGAUAAGACGGAUUAGCGGCGGACGGGUGAGUAACACGUGAGUAACCUGCCUUUUACACAGGGAUAGCCUCGGGAAACCGGGAUUAAAACCUGAUGAAACUAUCAAAUCACAUGAUUAAGAAAGUUAAAACUCCGGUGGUAAAAGAUGGACUCGCGUCCCAUUAGCUAGUUGGUGAAGGUAACGGCCCACCAAGGCAACGAUGGGUAGCCGGCCUGAGAGGGUGAACGGCCACAUUGGAACUGAGAAACGGUCCAAACUCCUACGGGAGGCAGCAGUGGGGAAUAUUGCACAAUGGGGGAAACCCUGAUGCAGCGACGCCGCGUGAGCGAAGAAGGCCUUCGGGUCGUAAAGCUCUUUUAUAUGGGAAGAUAAUGACGGUACCAUAAGAAAAAGCCCCGGCUAACUACGUGCCAGCAGCCGCGGUAAUACGUAGGGGGCUAGCGUUGUCCGGAAUCACUGGGCGUAAAGGGUUCGCAGGCGGCAAUGCAAGUCAGAUGUAAAAGGCAAAGGCUCAACCUUUGUAAGCAUCUGAACUGUAUAGCUUGAGAAGUGUAGAGGCAAGUGGAAUUUUUAGUGUAGCGGUGAAAUGCGUAGAUAUUAAAAAGAAUACCGGUGGCGAAGGCGACUUGCUGGGCACAAUCUGACGCUGAGGAACGAAAGCGUGGGGAGCAAACAGG
RNAcentral lists this ribosomal RNA (749 nucleotides) under uncultured Peptoniphilus sp. RNAcentral describes it as "bacterial SSU rRNA". It matches the Rfam family "Bacterial small subunit ribosomal RNA", at positions 28 to 776 of the family's 1533-position model. Lineage: Bacteria; Bacillati; Bacillota; Tissierellia; Tissierellales; Peptoniphilaceae. The record is from RNAcentral.